ACGGGAGGCAGCAGUGGGGAAUAUUGCACAAUGGGGGAAACCCUGAUGCAGCGACGCCGCGUGAGUGAAGAAGUAUUUCGGUAUGUAAAGCUCUAUCAGCAGGGAAGAUAAUGACGGUACCUGACUAAGAAGCCCCGGCUAACUACGUGCCAGCAGCCGCGGUAAUACGUAGGGGGCAAGCGUUAUCCGGAUUUACUGGGUGUAAAGGGAGCGUAGGUGGCGUGGCAAGUCAGAAGUGAAAGCCCGGGGCUCAACCCCGGGACUGCUUUUGAAACUGUCAUGCUGGAGUGCAGGAGAGGUAAGUGGAAUUCCUAGUGUAGCGGUGAAAUGCGUAGAUAUUAGGAGGAACACCAGUGGCGAAGGCGGCUUACUGGGCUGUAACUGACACUGAGGCUCGAAAGCGUGGGGAGCAAACAGGAUUAGAUACCCUGGUA
Molecule: ribosomal RNA, 434 nt
Filed under: uncultured Clostridiales Family XIV bacterium
Lineage: Bacteria; Bacillati; Bacillota; Clostridia; Eubacteriales; Clostridiales Family XIV. Incertae Sedis
Description: bacterial SSU rRNA
Rfam family: Bacterial small subunit ribosomal RNA
Source: RNAcentral